GCCUGGCGUCGCCGCCGUCAGCCGCAGAGGGGUCGAUAAUCUGGUGAGAAGCUAGACCUCUCCUAAAUUGCAUAAGCGGAAGGAAACAUAGUAAAAGAAUGUGAGGGUAGCACCAGCGAAAAAGCCACUCUAGGCAAAAGGUCUUGACUGGUAGAAGAAGAUGGAGGACAUGAGGAUGAUGAAAUACUUCUCGAAGAUCCCCUAUAACG
Molecule: long non-coding RNA, 209 nt
Organism: Lolium rigidum
Lineage: Eukaryota; Viridiplantae; Streptophyta; Magnoliopsida; Poales; Poaceae
Exons: 3
Source: RefSeq, a predicted model, not a curated record